Molecule: ribosomal RNA, 254 nt
Filed under: uncultured bacterium
Lineage: Bacteria
Description: partial 16S ribosomal RNA
Rfam family: Bacterial small subunit ribosomal RNA
Source: RNAcentral
UACGGGGGGUGCGAGCGUUGUCCGGAAUCACUGGGCGUAAAGGGCGCGUAGGUGGCCUGAUAAGGGUGUGGUGAAAGUCCGGGGCUCAACCCCGGAUCUGCCGUGCCGACUGUUGGGCUGGAGUACUGUAGGGGCAGGCGGAAUUCCGGGUGUAGCGGUGGAAUGCGUAGAGAUCCGGGAGGAACACCAGCGGCGAAGGCGGCAUCCUGGACUGGUCCUGACACUCAGGAGCGAAAGCGUGGGGAGCGAUCCGG